This is an RNA transcript of Bactrocera latifrons, 3109 nucleotides long. RefSeq lists it as uncharacterized. The transcript is spliced from 5 exons. Lineage: Eukaryota; Metazoa; Arthropoda; Insecta; Diptera; Tephritidae. The record is from RefSeq and is a predicted model, not a curated record.
CAGUAAAAAAUUUAAAUAAUAAAACCAAAAAAAUUCCAACUACCAACAAAAGUAUUCUCCAACACAAGCACAAACAUUCCACUACAAGGACCGUUCGCCCUCGCGCACUAAACCACAAACAUGUCCGAGUUUCGUUUCUUUUCGUUGGCCGAUUUCCAAUACAUUAGCAAUGAUUCGUCUCUCUUCACCUUGCCGUUCGCGCUUUCAACGAAGAGCACACCUGCCUAUGACAAUGAGAUGUCCGAUGACUUGAAUGUACCGUAUAUGGUUUUUGAGAUUUUGGUUGCCAUUUUCGCCAUUGUCGGAAAUUUCAUGGUGAUUGUUGUGUUCCAACGCGACCGUAAACUACGACGACGCACCAAUUAUUAUAUUGUUUCAUUGGCUAUGGCGGAUUUUCUCGUUGGCUCGUUGGGUGUACCGUUUGCCAUAUUGGCUUCGAUUGGUUUGCCAAAAGACCUGUAUACUUGCCUCUUCACCGUCUCGCUGUUGGUUGUAUUGUGCACGAUUUCGAUAUUCUGCUUGGUGGCUGUGUCAGUGGAUCGUUAUUGGGCCAUACUCUAUCCGAUGGCAUAUUCGAGGAAUGUACGCACGCGCACUGCAAUUAUCAUCAUCUCGUUGUGUUGGGUCGCUGGCACAAUUGUGGGCUUCCUGCCGUUAUUUGGCUGGCACGUAAAGCCCGAAAAUGAAGCGGAUAUGACCUGCCAUUUCGUCAAAGUAAUGGACUACAACUAUUUGGUGUUCCUGUACUUUGCGACCAUAAUUACGCCGGCGCUGCUAAUGUUGGCCUUCUACACACAUAUCUAUCGCGUCAUUGUCAAGCAGGUGCGGCAAAUAGUCACCAUGAAUCCGAUGAGCGACAGCAGUCGACGCAAUUCGAAUACACAAGUUCAAGCGGGACGUGCUUGUCAUGGUGGCACGAUGUUGCGUGUUUUAGGUGCAUCACGCAAACGUGAUGUCAAGGCCACACAGAAUCUCUCCAUCAUCGUACUUUUCUUUAUGAUCUGCUGGUUUCCGCUGUACACCAUCAACUGCAUUAAGGCAUUCUGUCCGCAGUGUCAGGUGCCUGGGAAGCUGACACUAUUCUGCAUUAUACUCUCCCACCUGAACUCGGCAGGCAAUCCGGUGCUGUAUGCAUACCAUUUGAAAGACUUCCGUUUGGCGCUGAAGAAUUUGUUACUGAAAAUAAUGGGUAUUGAGGUGGAACAACCGGUGGAUCCAAUGCAUCGCUUCUCGGUGGCUAGUCAGCACCGCUUACAUUCCAUCGACGCCAGCAUGCGACACUCACUGCAGCCACGUAUUUAUAUAGAUUCACCUAUUUGGUUGCGUCAGCAACAGCAGACACUCAAGAGCUCGCAGUUGGGGCCUAAAUGUGGCGUGAUCACGCCUUGUUUGAACAACAUACACCAAACGGUAGCUGCUGUGGCUUCGGUGCCCACCGAUAUCGGACGUGAUAUGUGGAAUAUAAUGGAGGCUUCAAGCGGCGCCGAACUGGAAAAUGUCAAUUACGAAUUCCCGCUAGAUAGAAGCUCGAAUACGCCACCAACACCCGCAUCACAACAGCAGCGACGGCACUCCUCGCUCGAUCAUUGCAAUACCCCUGAUUACUCAUAUAACAAUUGCAAUUAUGACGUCAGUCCGGAUGAGUCCGAACUAGAUGAAGUUUUCCUACCAAAUAUCCGCAACAGCAGCGACAGUAAUAGCAUGACAAGCGUCAGGCCAAAUGGACAUUUACAUAAUACAGAGCAGCGCGAAAUGAUAGCAGGUGCAAUGCGCGAGAAACUACGCUCCGAUGACACAGACUACCAGAGCCAAGUGCUGAGCAAUCAGCGCGCACUCACCGAUUCCUCGUACAGUGACUACGAUGUACAAAAGCAAAGCGCUGGUCAUACGCCACCCGCAAAGGGUCGAUUGCUGACCACGUUGCGCCAAUAUCGGCUGCCCCAACAGGAGCUUAGCUCCUAUAAAGUAGCGCCAGGCAACACUGCCGACAAUAAUGGUAAAGCUGUUGAGCAUAGCGGUUUGUAUUCGCGUUCCGCAUCCAGUCAGUCGGGUCUCAGCAAUUCUGGCGUUUAUGUCAUUGAAAAUGACACGAGCCCUUUGUCACCGCGCCGUAAGCGUAAAUUUAAAAAAUCGCAGCGUCUAACCAAGAACUCCAACAAGACGGCAGUAGUGGUGAAAAGCACGAACAGUCACAGGCAAACAAUUUCUUGCACCAGGGAGUCAUCUGCCACCACGCCCUCCACAGAACUGGCGAAUGGCGCCGAAACGAGUGACGCGACGCAGACAAACAUACCACAUAACAGCGCCAGCGCGAGCAAUGGCAACAUAGCGCAGCAGCAAGCGCUGCAUGGCGAGGCUAGUCAGCUACCGUUGAACAGCAACAACAAUAACAGCAAUAAUAAUAACAAUAGAAAUAGUAACAAUGCUAAUCACAAAUUAAAUGGCCGUGCGGCAGAGCGCCAACAACAGCAACCACACACGAUACAUGGACAUCACGACAUGUUCGGGCCGUUGCGCGCUGUCGGUCACCUGAUUUUCCCGCCCCUUGCAAAACAUUCCAGCCUCUUUCAUCUAUUCCAGCCAAGCGUGUCCAGCGUGGGGGACGCAAUAACGACGUCACGCAAAACGACUGCAUGUGCAACGACAGCUGGCGCGACUACAACAAAAACUGCGGGUGCCGAAACCAUUAUGACAACUACAUCACCAGCACAUAGUAGAGCGUCGUCCACCACAGCCGCACACAGCGCGCAUGAAGCCACACAACCGAACAGUGCAUCGCGCGUCGCCUCGGUGGAUGAGUCGAUUUUGACAACAGUCACCGAUUUGACAGAGCCCACGCCAACGCCACAGUCUAAGGCGCAGCCACCGCCUCCAACAAUAGCUGCACGAUUUGUAGGUUAGGAAAUGAGAGGAGGAGGACUGAAUCGGGGAGGCCACUACUGCCUAGCCACUAGCGCUGCUUCGCACUAUUGUGAAUGACUAACAGCACUUCUGACAGCUUAGCGCUGCAUCAGUCGCUGCUUUUGCUGUCAAAACAAACCGAAAUUCACGUGUGGCACAAUUGUUAAAGUGCACGCCGAUUCAAAUAAAUCAGUUUUAUUCAAUAAAA